This 1556-nucleotide long non-coding RNA is filed under the name Marmota monax (woodchuck). Lineage: Eukaryota; Metazoa; Chordata; Mammalia; Rodentia; Sciuridae. The record is from RNAcentral.
AGACACAGAAGGGAAUAGAAGGGAAGAAAACAGGAGCAAUAGACAAUGUGGCUCACUCUCUGGUUAUUAGUGUCUUACUGUUUUUCAAAGAUUUUGGAUCAGACUAAGACAUUGUGUUAGAAUCCAAGAUACACCAGGUAAGGGACCCCUUCCCACCAUUGAGUCCAGUCAGUCUGAAAGUGGAAAAAAGAAGCAAACACUUAAUGGAUCCAUUGACCUGUUGUAUUCCUCAGAGAGAGGUUGAAGCUGAGCUUGACCAAGAUUCCUACUUUAGUGACAAAAGAGAUUGAACAAGCCUCCUCCAGUAAGUCUGACACCUGUGGCUUUAGACUGCAGCUGCACUAUUGAAUUUUAGGUGGGUGACAGGCAUUAAUUAUUUUUGAAAGAGAGAGUGAUUUCUAAAAGGAUUAUAGAACUCCAUAAAAUAAGGAGAUAGUUUGUUGCUCCAUUUCAGUCACCCUCCAUAGAAGCCCCAAUUUGGGCACAGAAAGAUGAAACUAGAUUCUCUACCCCUGUUAGCAGGGGAAACUGGGGGUUUUCUGCUUCUGCUGGCAGGUGAAGUCUGUGUCAAGUGCCAAUUUCGGCAGCUAAGAAGUGGUGCUCCUCUCAAAGGUGGGUUGUAUCCUUCUAUGUUAAUGCAGAACCCAGUGGCUCGCCAUCAAUUCCUUUUCCUGGGAUCUUUCUUGAAAAUUCAAAGAAUGAACUCUGCAGACCAGGAAGAGUGAGUGUAACAGUAGGACUUAUUGAAGAACAGGUAUAUAACUCUUGCAGUGCAAGAGGGGACCUGAUAGCUGGCUUUCUCUGACCAAGUGUGCUAGUCUAGGGGUUUAUAUUGCCCUUGGGUCACUGUGAUGUGUCCAAGCUUAUGCUGGUUAGGCUGUGGAAACAUACAAAUGCUAUUGGUCCCUAUUUAUGCUAACUAGGGUUUGAAAAAGCACUAACAGUAUUAGAUAGCCCCAAUCUCACUCUGGAUUUCCUCACUUUCAUUUUCUGUAUGCUUUUGGAAGACAGAAUUUGAGUCAUUGAAUUGUGCAUGCUUAGUGGUGUGUCAGGAACUUCAGGGCCUGUGUACAGUGUGCUUCUGCAGUGGCCAUCACCCAUGUGUGCAGGUGCGCAUCUUGCAGGGUGAUGAUCAGCUUGCCCCAGCUCACCUCAGUGCUUGACUGAUGCUCCAGCUUACGUGGUCCAUAACUCCCCUGUUUGCUGAAAUUGUUCAUAACUCCCCUGUUUGCUGAAAUAGUUAUCAGUGACCUGUAGGAUGACUGUCUGGCUUAUCAUCUGGGGAGUAAUGACAACAGGCAGAAUGUAUCUUGAUUGUGUUGUUAGCUAAAGUUUCAAAGGGUGCCAUGACUUCUUUCCCUAGAAGCCAAGCCUUCUCCACCUAUGCAGGAAGUCCUUUGUCAUGCUGAAUAUUUGUUCAGCUUGGCUAUCUAGCCUCUUCCACAGGAUCAGAAAAGAGGUAUCUAAGUAAAAUGCCAUCCCCAUGGCCAAUUCUAGAAAAUGCUCUGAUGGUUCAGAAGACUGAAGGCUCCAAACAUCUCUCUUACAUGAGACAG